RNAcentral lists this ribosomal RNA (483 nucleotides) under uncultured bacterium. Its description in RNAcentral is "partial 16S ribosomal RNA". It matches the Rfam family "Bacterial small subunit ribosomal RNA", at positions 28 to 523 of the family's 1533-position model. The record is from RNAcentral.
GACGAACGCUGCGGCGUGCUUAACACAUGCAAGUCGAGCGAUGAAGCCGGAGCUUGCUCUGGUGAAUUAGUGGCGAACGGGUGAGUAACACGUGAGUAACCUGCCCUUGACUCUGGGAUAACUGCGGGAAACCGUAGCUAAUACCGGAUACGACCCUCGGAGGCAUCUCCUGGGGGUGGAAAGAAUUUCGGUCAAGGAUGGACUCGCGGCCUAUCAGCUAGUUGGUGAGGUAAAGGCUCACCAAGGCGACGACGGGUAGCCGGCCUGAGAGGGUGACCGGCCACACUGGGACUGAGACACGGCCCAGACUCCUACGGGAGGCAGCAGUGGGGAAUAUUGCACAAUGGGCGCAAGCCUGAUGCAGCAACGCCGCGUGAGGGAUGACGGCCUUCGGGUUGUAAACCUCUUUUAGCAGGGAAGAAGCGAAAGUGACGGUACCUGCAGAAAGAGCACCGGCUAACUACGUGCCAGCAGCCGCAGUAA